AACGCAUCUUGCGCUCCUUGGUACUCCGAGGAGCAUGCCUGUUUGAGUGUCAUUAAAUUCUCAACUUUUGCUGGCUUUUCUUGUAAGGCUAGACACAAAAGUGUGGAUGUGGAGGAUUUUCUUUGCAGGCUCCCUUGAGUGCCAGCUCCUCUGAAAAGCAUUAGUAGUGCCCUCUAGUGGCUGACUUUUGACAUGAUAACUAUCACUGUCAUUAGUUACCACAUCUUUAUGCUGCUUACAACAGUCCUAUAAUAAAAUGGACAAAUAAAUGACAAAUUUGGCCUCAAAUCAGGUAGGACUACCCGCUGAACUUAA
Molecule: unclassified non-coding RNA, 315 nt
Filed under: uncultured fungus
Lineage: Eukaryota; Fungi
Description: partial contains 5.8S ribosomal RNA, internal transcribed spacer 2, and large subunit ribosomal RNA
Rfam family: 5.8S ribosomal RNA (bases 1-52)
Source: RNAcentral